UUUUUUUUUAGUAGAAGUCCUAUUUGCAAAACUACUAGUGAGCUUAACAUAACAGAUACACACUUUUGCAUUAGCACAUCGACCGGAUGGGGUUUUCGCAGGUAUCAAUCUGAUGGCACAUACCUUUGGGGACUGGGAAGACUUGAGUGGCCCGAACAGCAUGGGGUUUUUACUGCCAACAGCCACCAAAUCAGAAGAACGAACUGAAUCAGGAAUAAACUCAAUCGAAACGCAGAUUCCUCGAGCAUCAGAGCAUACUCACUCAUAGAUGGUCUUCUUAAACGUCCUGAACCCAGCCCUCAACCUCUCCGCGGAGCCCAACCCCUGCAGAGCACGCAGCAGCAGCCGUCAGCCGUCGCGCCACAAGGGGAAAGGGAAACAGCACAAUGCCGGCGCGCGACAAGAGAAUCGCAUCGCUCGGGGACUGGCCUCGCUGUAGGUGACCAUCUGGGCCGGGUGGUGGUGGCCGGCAGCGCUCGAUCCGCCCCCGAUGAGCGGCUCGCGGGCCGGGCUCAACGGGUUCUCCCGAGGCGGCUUGUGGGCGAGGAAGCAGCAGCAGCAUCCCCCCAUCGCCGAUCGCCCCCGCGAGCCGCUCGAGGAGGGAGAGAUCGGUGGAGAGGUGGGCGCCCGUAGCUCGUUGCCUCGGUCCUGACUCCUGAUUUUGCCCGCGGGCCGCAGGGGAAGGGGAAGAGGGUUUUGCAGUUUCGCUCGGGAUGAAACCGAACUUCGGCAGGCUUGGACUCUCGGGUGUUAUCCUGCUCGCCUCAAUUUGGAAAUCAUUAGCCCGAGAGGAUUGAUUUAGGUUCCGUUGGAUUUGAACUGCGAAAGCACAGAAUGGUGAAAGAGAUUCAGAGUUCAGCUCAGGAUCAUCGCGUGGGCCCCGCCGCUGCUUUAAAUCGGGGCAACGAGACGGCCAGAUUUUAGGUUGGCCGUUGUCUCGUGGCUCGUGGUUGGCUCGGGUUCACCGGUUCACCACCAUGUGAGGAGCUAAUGACAGUUGAGAAGGAUUUCCUUUAAAGUUCAAAACCGAUAAAGUAAAAAAAUUAAAUUCAUCCUAUUUCUAGUUUAUUUUAAUCUAACUUUACAAAACGAUUUCACACUUAGUAUCUCGAUUUGCGCAAAACAGAUGAAGUCGAAACUAAAAUAAACCUCCAAAAGAUAUCUUCCCUUUUCCAUUAUUAUUUCUCAGGUUUGGAUAGACCCUGUAAACUAUAAUCAAUACUCUUUCCGCUUCAAAUUAUAGAUCGUUUUGGUUUUUCUAGAUAUAUAAUUUUCCUUAUGUAUCUGAACAUAGCAUAUAUCUAGAUGCACAUAAAUAUCAAAUAUCAUAUAUCUAGAAAAGUCAAAACAAUCUAUCACUUUUUAGAGUUGCUCUAAGUCAAACUAUUUUAAAUUUAAUCAAUUUUAUAUAGAAAACAACUUGAUGAUAAUCUAUGAACCAAAUAAUACACUACGAAAUAUAUAUUUAAGGGGCAUUUUGUAAUAGACUAAUAAUACUAAUUUGGUGUUAUAAAUAGUAGUGCUCUUUUGCGUAAGUUUGAUCAGGCUUGAAAUAGUUUGACUUAAGAGAACUCUAUAAAUUGAUUUAUUCUUUAUGGAGGGAGUACUUCUUUUCAACUAUAAAUAAGAGGAGAAAACCAGGCAAUGCUGCAGCUCAUCACUGGCCAAGCCAACAAGUGCAGAGUGUGCCCUAACCUGCGUGUUGACUUUCUAGCGGGACUUAAAACCAUCUUCUUCGUUGGCAGAAAGCCUUUCAUUCAGCAACACACAUUUACACAGUCACAGGUUUGCAGGGAUAAUAUACACAAGAAUGCUAGGUAGUUGGCCUUAAUCAAUUUUUUUUCAUAAUAAUAACUUGUAGGAAUAGUUGACAACUCAGGGGGCAAACAGGCUUUGCCUUUCACUUUCGUUUUUAACUUUUUUCCAGAUUUUCUAUAUAUGUUUGAUGUUGUUUAAUUUUCAGUGUUCUUCAAACGAAUAAACCAACAGUAAGAUACUUCUAUAGGGCAAAUGACAUUCAAUACAGCAGGAUUGCAAUGUGGGCAGCUAGCACAUCCAGAGGAAACAGGCGACAUAACUACUACUAAGCCCAAGAACACGUCAUGACAGAAAAAAAACCCAAUUAUGCUCUUAACUUCAUGCGGCCCACUUUCAAUGUUUUGUCUUAAUUAUGAAAAAAUAACACGCCAUGACACGUCUUUUCCUUCAGAGGACGAGUUAUAUACGCCAUGACACAUCAUGGAGAGCAGCAAAAGGUAGCAUAAGAAGGUAAACUCUUUCUCUCUUCAUGAUAAUAUGAAUGAAAAGAUCAUUACAGCUGAUGUGUUUUGACCACACGUCGAUCAAACUAUGCAUCAUACAUACAUUAAAAAAGAAGAAGAAAGAACUCCGCGACAGAAAAUUGUAUUGCUUAUUACAGUUCACAAAGAGCAAUCCGGUAUGUGUGUAUAGGGGCAAAUUAGUAGUACUGCUCCACGCAGUCAGAUGUAUCGAUCGGGAGCAUAUAUGUUGUAGCCGUACAUGAUUAACAGCUAGCCUGGUUGGCCGCUCAUGGAUCCCAUGUCUCGAACUUGCCGGAGACGAAGUCGUAGUGGCCGCCGACCAGCUUGAGUGUCCCCUUCUCCAGCCCUUCCUUGACGAACGGGUAGGUCUUGAGGUUCUCGAGGGACACGUUCACGGCCUCCUGCAAGGUAAAGUGUUCAGAGGUCCAACAACAGCCACGCACUCCAUGAGCAAAUCGUUUUCCCGUUGGAGCUCGUCUCCAAGAUGAUGAUCCAGACAGAGGUCUUUUAAUUUCAGAGCAUACCUUUUCCAAGGCGGAGCAUUGGUCUUCGAAGGGGGCCGAGGCGUGGUCGGCCUGCACCUUCGUCUUCGCGGGGCCGCCGAUCCUGACCCAUUCCUCGACGAAGUGGCUGGACAGGGGAUCAAACAGUAAGUAGUGAUGCAAGAUACAGCAAACCAGUUUCAAGUUCUCAACACCGUCGUCAGUUGUCUGAGUCUUCCACACGGAUGCUUACAACUUGUCGGGCUCGCCGUCCUUGAGCGAGAGGAGCGCCUUGAUCCCGCCGCAGCGGCUGUGGCCGAUGACCACGAUGACCUCCACCUUGAGGGCGCAGACGGCGUACUCGAUAGCGGACCCGACGCCGGCGUACCGGGUCUGCAAGCAGAACGUGCGUGAGCGGUCGAGCCGACGACGAUGCCUGCCAGCGGCGGCGACAUGCUGCGAGAACUACCAGGCGCGCGUACCUUGUCGUAGGGUGGGACCAUGCUGGCGAUGUUGCGGACGGAGAAGGCCUCGCCGGGCUGCAGGCCCAGGGUCACCGACGGGCACACGCGGGAGUCGGAGCAGGCGAACACCAGGUACUGCACACAACCAUGAAUGGCAGCGAACAGUCAGCAGCCGGGUUACCGAUCCUCUGACCCUGACGGCCAUUGCUCUCCCUAGCUGGCUAGUAGCUCCUACUUCCUAUCAAGGGUUAAGCCCAAGACGGGGGAUAGGAACAGUAACAUGAGGCUCCUUUCAGAAAUAAAAAGUAACAUGAGGCCGGCCUACUUUAUUUGCGAGUGACGACAAGGUGGACCGUGGCUAGAAAAAUGUAUGGAAUCUUUAGUUCGAGGCUUCGGGCAACUAGCAGGAUUCGACAUUUCCGACUACAUAUACUUUAGAGUCCCCAUCAAACUCUGUUUUUUGAAGAGUCCCAUCGAACUCUGUUUCUUUGAAGAGUCCCAUCAAACUAUGUUGUUAUUUUACAUAAAGAUUGGGAUUAGUUUAGGCCAAAAUUUUCAUACUUUGACCCUUAAUCUUCCUUAAAAAAACUAUAUAAAUCAACUAUGUAAAACUGAUGUUACUAAGUCCACCAUGAAAAAUAUUUCAAUAAAUGUAACUCUUCAAAUAAUAUAUCUCCAUGGAUAUAGCUUGCCAAAGUAAGGUAAUGAAAGAUCGUGUGUCAAAACCAGGCGAGCCACAGAUAUGCAGAUUUCUAAUAAAGAGUUACGUGUGGACCAUAUCAUAUUUAAUUUCUUUCUAAUAUCUUUUUUUUCUGGAUGAUGGUCUAUCUUCUAAUAUCUAUAGAUGAUGUAUAUCUGCCGUUCUUAGCUUCUUGUAGCUGCUGAUAGCCAUUUCUGAACAUCUUUUUUAUUCUGGCGCACGUAUUACUCAUUUGGUCAACUUCUACCGCUUCUUUUUUUUCCCUCAUUUGGUCAACUUUGACCUCGAUCAAAUGCUGCGUGCACACAUUCGCAGGCGGCGUUGGACGCGGAUAGGGGGGGCCGCUAGAUCAACGGCAGGGUUGGUGGCAAAUGGGGACCCGUGAUUCCCGAUGUGCUAUCUAGUACGGGAAAACGGUUGUGUUGCCGGCCGGAUCCCCUCAGGAUAUUCCGAAUUUACUAUGAACGCAGAAACUGGCCGCUACGAGCUUCGAAAAUUUUGGUGGUGAACAAGAAUGCAAGAUAUAUUUCUUUACUCCAUUCUACAGUGCAUACCUUGGGGGACUGGUGGGCCUUGAGCGGCUCGAACGUCUCCGGCUUCUUGCUGCCGAUCGACAGGGAGACGGGUCGUCAAAGAGUCAAUUCACUUCACAUCGAGCAGGAGGCUUGGGAGAAUAGAGAGUAGCUUGGAUCACUUACUCGUAGACAUCGGCCUUGAACUGCUCGAACCCGGUCUUCAAGCGCUCGACGGCGUCCGCCAUGGCCUCCUGCAAGAGCCACAGAUCAUGUCGUCAACACAGCUGUGCCGUCCGUCCACAACAAGAUCACCAGAUGCGUCAUGCAGAUUUCUCGGGGUGGGGGGGGGGGGGGGAGUCAUGCGAAUUGCGAGCGACGAGUCUAGAAAGGGAAAGAAGAUGGGUUGAAGCAUGGAGGAUGGAGGAGGAGGGGGCUGACCUUUGGGCUGCAGAGGAGAGCAGGUGGUGAACUGUGGAAGGAUUGACGAAGACUGUGGAAGGCUUUGCUUCGCUGUAGAGCUGCCCCGUCCAUGCCUCCCCGGGGGACCUUUUUUAUAGGAGGGGGGAGGCACGGGAAGCAGCGGCUCGCCUUCUUUUCCUGCCCCCCCGGUCGUGCAGCUGGACGGAUGGACGCGGGGAACGGCGAACCGGUCCAGCACGAGACGUGUCAUCGUGCGGGACGGGGUACACCACUAACCCACCGAGCUUCCAAAGGUCCAUCCUGCAGGCCGCCUUCGCCUUGACCUCCGGCUGGCCGCGGCCGGGCAGGCGUGGCGCCGGGCUUGGGGUGCCGUCCUUCCCCGGGGAAACGAGGAGGACGAUGGAGAGGCUGGAGCCGGAUGGGCUGAACGCCGCGGUGGACACGGCUCACGACGCGUGGCGCCCUGCCGGUUUAGCGGAGCCGGAGAAAACGAGGGGGCGCGGUGUGAAGACCCAAGAGGUAAAUACUUAAUUUUAUUUAUUAACUAAUCCACUAAUUAGUAAUUUUGAAGAACAUAAGUAUUAAAAAUCCAUGAGAGAAAUUGGAUCUCGUAACUGAUCAUCAAAUUACCUCACCCCCUUCUCAUUUCUCAAAUAUUCUAGCACAUAUAUAUAGAUAUAUAUUUAUCUUUAUCCAUUAUAGAAUUUAGUUAGAAAUUAAUCUAUGCACUCUUCAUCGUCGUUGAUAGUUUUCUUUUUGCAUGGCAUCUGCAUCUGGGUUUGACAUUUUUCUAACUAAAUUCUUAGUUUGGGCUAUGUGUUUAACAUGGAAAUUGGUGCUAUCAUAGCUUCCUGCAUAUACAGGGGUGGAUCCGACCCACUUGGUGCUGUUACUUGAUAGCAAUGGAUUUUUAAAAUCCAAGGCUAAAGUUAUCUUGAUAUUAGAGAAAAUCAUAUCGUAAAUUUGACACUAGUGACAUCAAUGGUUCUCUAUUCUAGAUUACCGCCUAUGUAGAUAUGUAUACAUGGUCUAAACCGUAAGUUAGUAUCUUUAUAACAGAAAUAAAUAAUUUAGAAUUUUUUAUUGGUGUGCACUGGGAUACUUUUUUAUAAUGAUAGAUGCAGUUAAUCAAGAAGCCAAUUUAGGGAUUAUUUUCAAUUGUUUUUAGUAAUAGCACAUAUGGAUAAUUUAUAUAUAUAGAUUUAGGAUGUUACUUUAUUAGAUGAUUUUUAUACUAAAAUGGCAGCGACGGGCUACUUUUUAUGCAUGUCCAUGAAGCAUACAACCAAGAAAAUGUUGUAAUGAAACUGAGAUCUUAGUAAACCUUGUGCUUUUCACGAGCAUACAACCUUGCAAUUUCUCAUAUUAAUACUAAGGUACAUAUCUGUCUGGUGUAUACGAGAGGGGGGAAAAAAAGAAUGUGCAACCAAAGCAGAGACAAAAAGAACAUGAGCAACCAUUUAGAGAUCUACUGGAAGGAACAGAGAGCAAGCAACCAAACUUUACUUCUGGUUUAAAGCGUGUGAUCAAUGUGGAUUAUUACUGUUGAUUUUUCUAGCUUAUUAGCAUGCACUGUAGCACGCAAAAGCACAUAGGCAUAAAGACCCCCCCCCCCCUCUGUUGAGUGCAAGAUUUUCAGAAAGUUUAGGGGUCAACUUUCUUAAUCUUUUUUUGUGAAGACAGCUUUGUAGUACAAAAUCAUUCAUGUCUCACAUAAAAAUGGUAGCACCAGCAUUUCAGGGAGAGAGAGAGAGAGAGAAGGGGCAUCAAGAUGUAGUAGAAAGGUAAAGUAUGCAUGAUAGUAUUAUGAAAAAGGCUUAUACAGCUGAUGUCUCUUGACCACAAAAGCGGUCUAAUUACGCACCAUAUAUAUUACAUAUAAGCUCCACCUUAGAAAUUAAAGCAGUAGAAGCUGCUAUUGCUUAUUACAUUCACAGAUAGGACGAUCCGGUUUGUAGCUGUCGAAAUAGGAGGUAAGUCCUCCACGCGUUGACAUCGACCGGGUGCAUAUACGUCGGUAUGUAUGUAUCUGAUGUAGUAGGAGUUUGCGGCCUAUUUCUCCCAUGUGUCGAAGAUUCCGUUCACGAAGUCGUAGCGGGCACCGACCAGCUUGAGGGUCCCGUUGGCCACGCCUUCCUUGACCCAGGGGUAGGUCAAGAGGUUCAAAAGGGACACGUUCACGGCCUCCUGCAGAAACAUUCAGAAAUGCAGGAUCCUCUCAUGAGCAAACCAAUUCGAUCUUUAUGAAAUCACGCGCGUAUGGGCAGCGGGUAACCAAAGAUCGCCAUGGCAACCAGGUCGUAGCCCGUGCGUACCUUCUCCAAGAUGGAGCACUGGUCAUCAAACGGAACCGUGGGGUGCUGGCUCAGCACCUUCUUCUUGGCCAGGAAGCCGAUCCUGACCCAGUCCUCGACGAAGUGGCUGGGCGCGUCGCCAAACAAACAAAGAACAUCCUCGAGUCAGAGACAUGAUGCUGCAGGGGUAGCAGGCUCCUCCCAUCUAAAACUUUGUUCCACCGUGACUUACAAGGUGUCGGGUGCGCCGUCCUGGAGGGAGAGGAGCGCCUUGAUGCCACCACAGCGGCUGUGGCCAAUCACGGUGAGGACCUCCACCUUGAGGGCGCAGACGGCGUACUCGAUGGCGGACCCAAUACCGGUGUACUUGUUCUGCAGUUCACGAAGCAAAAGCAACCGAGUCAGCGGUCAACACCCCACCAGCAAAGAAAGAUCACCGGCCAUGCGCCAGGCCAGCCGGUACGCGUACCUUGUCAUAGGGCGGGACCAUCGCGGCGAUGUUGCGGACGGUGAAGGCCUCGCCGGGCUGCAGGCCCAGGGUCACCGACGGGCAGCAGCGGGAGUCGGAGCAGGCGAACACCAUGUACUGCAGCACAUAGCAUGAGCGAAAAAAGGGGGAAAUCAGAAUCAUCAACAAAAAUGGGGAAAAAUCUGUGUCAGGUCAGCGAUAAGAGCACGCGAGCAUUUCGCGCCCCCACCACACGGCUCUUAUCGAUAAGCAGGUAGGCAGAUCGGCGCUGAUCGGUGGAGUGCAGGAUUCGGGUGGCCCUUGUGGAUGUGCGUGCAAGCGAGUACCCCCGCCGCUCGAAAAAGGCUGCCACUUUUGACCCGCCUCUGCCCGUCUCUGUUCCGAUCCACUUUCUACCACCGGAGCCGCCGCUCCGUUGGCGAGGAAGCCAAGCUGCAGGAAGGUUCCCCGCUGGGAGCGGCAAGGAUACUCUGCGCGGGCUUUGCUGUGGCCCCAUGGGUGGCGACCAACGGGCAACAAACACUAGCGUUGCCAUUACCGGCAGGCAAGGACGUAAUAUUUCUGGACGCAAAGGCGAGACCCGUAUGCACGAACCCAGAAGGAUUCUGAGGGAAAAGCCGAGAGCCAAACUGCCAAAUCCGGCAUCCGCACUGCCGAUUAAGCUUGGUGACAAGAGCAGCAGGAGGAGGCUAGCUAAUGGGCUACUAUAGUGCGCGAGGAUCAUGGAUCACUUUGUUCCCAUUACGACAGCAAUCGGCAUGGACGGCCGGCCGGACACCAGGGUAUGUAGGAAAGGGAACCUUGUUCCGGCUUGCAUAAGCUCACGCUGGAGGCCAGGACUUGGAAAAGGGGCUCGAGGCUAAAAGGCGAUUACGACGCGUAGCGUGAUGCAAUCACCUUCAGCGACGGCAUACACUACGUUGAUAGUAUGAGCAUAUCUCCAGGAUCAGCAUGCAUGGCCAGGGAGAUAAGGAUGCGAGUAGACAAUGUUCUGAACGCUAAAGCAACAGGCCCCGUCCAACACUUAUGUGGCUAACUUUUGCACGGGCCUGGCUGGGAGGAGAGGACAGAGGACACGUCCAAACCAACUACCACCCCUAGCUAGCUACGCUGAUUGUGCCGGUGAAGGAAGAAUUCCGUGAGGGACCAUUGUUCAACAGGACCGGUUGAUGCAUGGUAGGGCCUUGUGCCCAGUCAUGGCUGGACCACACGUCCAGCCGUGGAAUGAUGGCAUGCUGGUUGGUGAUACACGCCUCGCUACCCCUUUUGGUGUAUAUGGUAUGUAUGUGCAGCGUUCAAAUGUAAUGAUGAUGGACCGGACCAUGGAGAGAUGCAGGAAAUUCUUUGGGAUUCAACACGGCUUAGGUGGUGGUAACUCUUUGUUUUCCACGGACCGAUUAAGCAGCCAAGCUAGACCACCCUUUUCUUUUCAAGGAAAAUCAGCAGACUACUUGCUUGUGCCUGGAACCAGCCAACUACAGCACGCUGCAUGGAGUGAAUCGGCGCAUGGGAUCGAUGCCAGCCUGGAACCCCCCAGAAAGAAAACAAUAAAACUCUGUACUUGCGAGAUUCUGCCACCAGGUAAAUACCUAGGAACGGGAAGGAAGUAGGAUUAUAUAUCUCUAUACACACACACACACACACACACACACACAAUAUCCACCACCCCAGCUAGCCAGAAAAGUGAGCGUAUAUAGGGACGGCGACAUCUCAACAGUUCACACGCAGGCCAAAACGCCCCAACCGCCAACAUGGCUCGCACAUGGGAAUGCACUCGCGCCGCGCAUGUUCGUGGCCGGGGGGAGCUCGUAUCCACUAGCGAUUUCUCUGCACAGUUUCGGCUUCAGAUUUCCCCAGCUGACUGAUCACGGGCCAACUGGCCGCUAAUGGCGACAAGCUGUCCCCAUCAGUCUUAAGCCACGCAAUCAAGGACAAGCUGCGUGCUCCCCUUUGUCUACCACGACCUCUUUGACCUCGGCCCCGGCGCAAAUGCCUGCACCCAGGGAUGCCAAAUGAAACAGUAACGGAAUGGCAGGGGCAGCACAGCAGCAGGUGCCAACGGGAAUGCAGGGAUCCUGGUGAUGAACACGACGAGCUAGCUGGUACCAGCAGCGACACUGUUCUGGCUUGGCUUCUACUACCUGGACGGAUGGGGAACCGCCGGCAAGUACCACCAAAUCUGUGGACCAGCAACGUCAGGCGUUGCCCGGACCCCCACGGAAACCCCGAGCUCCUGAACGCGGUUUGCCUAAAUUAAGCUUCCCAGCAUUUGUGCCGAGGAGCCGGGCGGGCGGACGGCCGGAGUGGAUGCAGACAAAAAUCUUAGCAGUCUAGUACAAGGGUGAUGGGACGGGAUUGGAUAGGAGGAGAACAUACCUUGGGGGCCUGGCCGGCCUUGAGCGGCUCGAACAGCUCCGGCUUCUUGCUGCAGAGAGGGAAUUCACACGGGCACAGGGUUAGUUGGAGCUCCCGAGAAAAAAAAAAUCCCCAAAGAAAUCAAGCGCCAUGGAAGCUGGAAUCGAGCGCCGGCGGGUGCUGCAUCGAGUGGAGCGGACGACUUACUCAUAGACCUCGGUCUUGAACUUCUCGAACCCGCUCUUCAAGCGCUCGACGGGGUCCAUGCCCUGCAACAGCGAGAAAGACCAACCACAAACCGUCAGCUCGCCGUCCCCAGAAAGGACCAAAUUGUGUGCUCUUGAUGCAGCAUGAGAGACAGAGUGGGCAGGGGACAAGAGCUUGCCGCAAGAAAGCAUGCACAAAGGUGAUCUGAAGGGGAUGCAGGGAUCUGCUUUGCUACUGAGCGAUGGGGGCAGGGGACGAAAGGAAGACGGACGGACGGACGGACGGGUGGACGGAGAUUACUGUGGGAGGAAGAAGGAAGGAGGGAGGGAGGGAGGGAGGGAGGGGGGGAACGGACCUUGGAGGGAGGAUGUGGAGAGUGGGUGGGCUUCUUGUUCUGGAGGACCGCGGAGGAGACGGCCUCCUUCUUUUUAUAGCAGGGGAGGCAAAGGCACCCGCUCAUCUUCGAACGCGCGGCUUGGAUGCUACUAGAGUAGGAGUACUUCGCUUCUCUCUCGUCUGACUUUUGAGCUUCUCGUUCGGCGGUUUACUAGCAACAUGACACGUGGAAUAAUGGCGUGAGAGAGAGAAGGAGAAAAUCAAUACACGUAGUAGUAAUGGGUGAGUGCGGUUUCUGUGGACGGGAUAACACCCCAGUAGUUGCUAAAAUUUUCGUCAUCCAUUUUUCAGGCACCCGUGAGAUGUAGUAUUGGCCGAGAACGUGUGCGGUUAGCUCUGCUAUUUUGAGUUCAGCCGGUUAAACCCGGUGCUCUUUUUAUUUGAAUGGUAAACCAGGUGCUCUUGAAGGAGAAGAAAAAAAGAAGUCCAUUGGUACACGGAAAAGUUCAGACAGCCCGAAGCGUAGCUCAGAAGAUGAGGCCAGAAGUAAACGGGUCGGCGUAAGCUGCUGAGGCGAAGGCUGGAAGGACCAACUUACCGUGACCAUGACACUAUUACUGACGAUGCGCGAGGCACCGCCGGGUACGGACAGCGAGAGCACAAGUGGCCGGCCCGGCCAUCUGCCGCCGGCCAGGUUGCUUGCGCCUUUCCUUUUUGCUGCUCCCUGCCUCCCGAGUCCCCACCCCCCCGAUCGAGAAACGUUUCCCCAGGGGGUUAUUCCCAGAUCCAAGGAAUCUCGAUGCCCACUCGUCCAGAUCUGGUCUGCCCACAGGGCUGCUGUUCUCUACUUCCCCAAUCCCCAUGGGUUCUAAACUUCUACCAGAGGUCGUCCUUCUAGCUCGUGGCAAUGGGAACCCACCGCCGGACGACGGGGGCGGCCACCAAUGGCACGGCCGGCCUCGCGAUCCAACCUUCCUUAUCGGCGCGCCUAAACUACUCCCUUCGCAACCGCCGGGGCCACAGACCCGGCCAGCGCCUCACCUCCUAAAUUAUUGGAGGCUCCUGCGGUCGAGCUCAGCUCAUCGAGAGCUUGUCCCCCUGAUGCCCCCUCCUAACCAUCCAACCCAAGCGACCUCUCCUCUUAUUGGGGGCUCCUUUUACUGUUUGUACUUCCCGCAAAUCUAGUGCGUAUCUAAUGGCAGCUACAGGUUUCUGCACCGCACCACCGGCCAGAGCCAGAGAGUCAUGGUGCGUGCGAUCGAUGUCAACGCUGUCCGCAUCGCAUCGCAUCGCAUCAGCGUGGUGACGUGGUAGCAACGAAAAUCUAGCUAGACUCCUCGUACUGCUAGCCAGCGCUGACAAGUCUGGCUACCAGUUCACCACAGAGCGAGAACCACAACUUUUUUCCCCUGGUUCCAUAUGUACUUAUUAAAGUUGUUUUUUUUUGGAAGUUGCAAGUAGCUAGUAAUCUCGUGCUAGUUCGUUCGUUGCUCUGGCCAAAAAAAAAAAAAACUCAACGGUGAGCAAAAGCAAAAGGCGGGAAUUCAUCGGCGUUAAAGGGAAAAGGCUGACGUUGAUGGGGGCUUAACCGACUGAUGGUCGGUUAUUGGAUUACUGGAUGCGUUAUGGACCAAACGGAACUGAAAAGCCAGGAGACGGAUGCGGGGCUAGCUAGCUCUUGACACCUUCUAAUCUGUGCGGUAGCUAUCAUGCAAGGAGAGUCCAUGGCGACCCUACUCCACCUUAUCGCUUGUUUUAUAAUUAGGUGGAAAAAGGCCGAGCCACGCUCGACGUCGCUAAGCAAGUGUACUUGGAACUUUUGGGGAAUUCUAAUCUAUCCUAUCGAUCGAAAGCAUCUGCUAGUUGCUGCCUUUAAACUGGCACUAUCAUUGGCCACCUCUUUGGAAGCCCCUCCCUCCACGAAUAUUCUAUGGCAGGUGGUUGACAUGCAUGUUGCUAGUACUAAUAACAGAUGGAAGAAUGGUUAUUAAAUUACUAGUAGUAUAUACUAUGCAAUGAUUGGUCAUGGUCCAAAAGAAGUGGAGAAGAAGAUGAGGCUAUGGUCUGCCGCAUUUGCGGACUCGGCCUUGGCAUUAGCUCUUGGAGCAGAUUAAGGAACAGUGCGGCGCCUCCAUGUUCUCAGGGGACGCGUAGUUUUUUUUUAAAAAAAAAAUCUAAUGCAUUUGUGGCAAGGUGGUGCAUCAUUAGUUGACCCGACCGUGUUGCGUUGUACCCUUGCGUGGCACUUGGAUUUUGUUUCUUUUUCAGAAACCCCUGGUCAGUACCAGCAGCUACCUCCUAGAUUAUGGGAAGGAAGUUUUUUCUUUUUCUUUUUUUUUUGCUUUUGCGGUGGUGCAUUCCGUUCGUCUUGCCGGAGCCGGAAAUAGCAAGGGCAAGCACAUGUGCCAACUUGUUAGUUACCGAAAAGAGAUGCAUGGAAGCAGUGUGGGUAUCGACAUGCAUGCAUGCAGAGGUAAUAGUACACAAUGUGCUCGGUGCGGUGUGCCAUGCAUGCGUGCGUGCGCACGUACCACGAUGGCGGAGGGGGCGGCGAAGACGGGCGCGCUCAUGAUGAGCCUGGGGCGGGCGGAGGCGGGGAUGCCGGACUUGGACGGCGCGGGGGUGCCGAGGCCGGCGACGAUGCUCGAUGCGGCGGUGGAGGCGCGCACGGCCAAGGUAAGCAUAUGUGGGGGUGCUCCCUUGGUUGGUGCCGCCUCCCUGCGCGCGCCCCCAAGAAAUAGCUGCGCCGCGACCGCGUGCCGACAACAAACCGCCGGACGCGAGCGGCGCCGGCGUGCGGCCCGGCUGGGCCGGUGGAUCCGGGCCACUCGGCGCCUCAUCCGCCAGCAGCGCGCCACCCGGCCUCCCCACCACCCCCUGCCGGGGAUGGAGGGAUAGGACUCGGGUCGGGAUAACGCGCCGCGGCACCGUGUGGCGGACGGGCGCGCGCCCCCGGAUGGCUUGGCACGCCCGCGCCCUGGGCCACACGAGCGCGGCCGGGGGGACGGACGCGAAAACGAAGGGCCCUUCGUUCCGAUGCGCGGCGUCGAGAAACGCCAGCUGCUGCGCGGUCGUGGUGGAUGGGGAUGUGAUUGGAUGCUGCUGCGAGCGGCGAUGGGGGGCGUUGGGCCGGUGUGGGCUGCUGCUGGCGGGGCGCCACGCGUGUGACGGGGGUUCUCUUGGCGCCGGUGACAUAUCCAUCGGAAUUAUGGUGUGGCUGCCCUUCAUUAAUCACCGGGCCGAAAUGGAUGGUUCGGUGGUUAUUAGGUGAUGUCAGGUCAGGGGACUGAGCGCGUGAUCUUGGUUGGAGUGGCAGGCAGCACGUGAUGGGGGUUGAGACACGUCGGCGAAACGUUAGUUGUCUGGUGGAGAACUCAUAAGUUUUUCUUUUAAAAGAAAAGAAGAAGAAGAAGAACAACAACAACAUGUGCACAUCAUUGCUCACCGAGCGAUACUAGCUCUUGGCUUCAGAGACUUGUGUUGAGCUCAGGGCCUGCUGGAGGAUAAUAGUGGCAUAGCUUUCGGCCCAUCGAGCUGGUUGUGCGCGGCAUGAAGCCUGCCACGGCCCAUCCUUGUUCAGUUUGUUUUCCGGCAGCCUGGCCCGAGCUGGAUUUGGGCCCAGGCUCCCAUGCGCCCUGCUGUUCCUGUACAGCAGCAAGAAGGAAAGCAUAUGCCUCCUGGUUAGAUAACUUCGCAGAAUUGCAUGCCUCCUGGUUAGAGAGAGAUCAGCAGCAGUAGGAAAAUGACUGACUUCGGGUUGUCUAAGAGUCACUAAGAAUGUUCAGGAAAUGAUCGGAUGUUCUUAUACUGUGAUUGUGUGCUCGGUAGGCGUGCUUGGACUCUUGGACCUGGCCGUCAUGUUUGGCUUGGUUCUCCUCCGGUAUUCUUGGAUGUAAGCGUUUUCCAACCUUCCGCUCGAGAAAACAGUGGCAAAUUACCUGCCUUUAGAGUUGAGAAGUCUCUUCCUCUGAACAACAUCUGUGGGAGUUUCAAGUCCAGUUCAACUUUGUGGAAAUUUGAACCGGUGAUCUUCGCGUCUGCAUCCAUAGUCCGCAUUCAAUGAUCAGGGCUGCAGCAAGACGGGGUGCAGACGCAUAUGCUGCUGCGCGCUGCGAAAUUUUUUACAGGAAUGCAUACAACAGUGCCACUCUCUUGCUACAGCUACGACUACUGGAGAGAGAGAGAGAGAGAGAGAGAGAGAGAGAGAGAGAGAGAGAGAGAGAGAGAGAGAGAGAGAAGUGAACAGCAUACUAGAAUGAAUCGAAGAGUUGUAAAUUUACCUUUCUCCAUGGCCGCCGUAUCCUCUAUUCCCCCGUCAAAUUCUUGGACUCCGGCCGAGCCAAGCUUCGCGGAUGCGUGGCUAGCUGCUCCAUGCACACGCGGUCGAUCCGAUUACGGUGGCCGCGUGCAGCUAGCCACGAGCCAUGCCGAUGCCGAGUUGAGCACGGAUCGAGCUGAAGCUCCAUCCUGCACCGAGAGCUAGCGCACGGGCCAUUACUUAUGCUGCCUCUGCUGGCGCACGGAGGCGAACCGGCGGCGUGCAAGUACGUGGAAGGGUUGACACUACUAGCUUGGGCCGGCCUGUUCGCAAGCUAAAAGGAUGUGCUCACUUUGGCGACACAAUAGACACCCGGUAGCUUGGUGUGCAGGUCCAGACAGCGCAGGACGAGGACAACAAGACCCGGGAAAAGGGAAACGCUACAAAAUUGGUGUUGUCAUGCGCCUGUAGCUAGCGGUCGAGCAGCAUCAGCUUUGAGUUGGCGCCCAGAUAUCGAAUUAUGAUCUGCUCGUUUCGAAUUCCACUUGUCCAUUUCUUCAUGUACACACGCGCUGUAAAGAUGCCUCGCGGUAUCGUGUUGAUUGAACAGCGUGUCUGCUCGCUAGCAUAAUAGUGUAGGGCUCAAUACUAGUCAUUGGGCCCGUGAUAGACCACCUUGCAGACGUUUCCUUUUGUUCGGGAAAGGAUUCCCGCCUGCUCACUCCACCUUCGCGAAGGGGUUUCUUGUGUCCAUACUCCGGUGAAAAGAUUCCAAGCGCACCGGCGGUCUGACGAUGGAUUGGGACAGGCUUAGCGAGUACAGAAAAAUCGAAUUGUGAAAUUAGUGAAGGGUCCUUAAACGCUUCGGAAGAUAAAUGUCUUCGCUCAUCUCUCAUCUCAUAAAACUCUCGUUCCUCUCCCCUCGUAAUCACCCUGCUAUGUCAAUAAAUUUGGUGAUGUGGCAUAAGAUUUAUUGCCCACAAAACUUCACUGGUCUAGCUGGGACCAAGGUAAGCUGUGGUAGGUCUGAGCGGAAGCGAAGGCUGGCCAGAGCUUCCAUAAAAACUGGGCGAUUUUGGCAAAAAAAAUCAUGGUUUAAUUAACCAGAUUAUAUGCCAUGUUCGGUUGGGUACUAGUCUUUUAUUUCAAACAGACGGAAGAGGAAUCUGGUUCUGUUUAUCCGGCUUGUCCAAAUAACAUAACUAUGCUGGUGAUUUCCCUUUCUUGAAUCUUUUUAUUCUCCUCCCCUUUCCAUUUUUAGAAAGUAUUAAGUAAAAAUUUAUUCACACGGAUUUAGUGGAUAAAUUAUCAUGAUAACUUUUGGAUGAAUAGUUUAGCAGUGUUUCUCAAAAAGAAACUUAUCUGGGAUAACUUUUCAUGUAGAUUUCUUCAAAGCAAAGCUCCGUGGAAAGCUUGCUCAUGCACGUUUGUCAAAAAAAAAUCUUCAGACAAGUUUGCCGAAAAAAAAGCUUCCCUGGAUAAGUUUUGCCGAAAGAAAAGCUUCCCUGGAUAAGUUCUUUAAAAACCUUCUCAAAUUACAAUUUCUAACAACAAAGCUUUCUAGAGGUUUUUGAAAAGUUUUGAGGUGAAGGUCUUCUAAACACUUCAUCUAGAAAAUUUACAGUUGAAGGAAAGGGUGGACAGAAGCAAGAAUAGGCAUAAACUGCGAAAAGGACACUGUCACGCUGAUGUGCAUCAGUCUACAGAAUUUCCACUAAUGUUUCACUUUUGUUUCUCGUGAGUAUAGCCAACGCAGUGAAGGCCUAUAGAAGCCCAAUAUAGUUAAGUUCAACCCCAAGGCGGCCCAAACCAGAUUGAUAAUUGUAGCUUCGGUUUAUAUAAACAGGGCCUGCUCGCGUGCUUCCAGUUUGAAAUGUUCAUGUGACCUAACGUCAACUGCGCAAACAACCGAAACAACGAACGUAAGCAAGAAAUUAAGAAUCCACCGCUGUCACUUCCUGUCCGGCAGUCCUCCACCAACAACCAGCGCUCAGAUUUCAGACUUCAGAGUAGCCUGGGGCGUACGUCUGCUGCGUUAGGUUACGCAGCUCGGGACAAGCAACAAGUUGAAGCAUGUCGUGGAGUGCUCCAUCGCCAAGGAACACAGGAAUGCAGUAGGAGGUAGGCGAAAGCGCACAUGCUCUUUCCCCAGCAGGACAUGGAUAGCAUAGCUAGCUCAAUCGAUUAGAAAGGUCAAGAUGUGGAGAGUCGGAUGCACGAAUUAACUCGCAAAAAUCAAUUGCUGACUUGUGUAUUUUACCCUCAAAGUGGUCCCGUCAGCUAACCACACCAAACACUGAACUUCUGUUAGGUGAGUCCGAAUGGCACCGAGUACGUACGCACGGCACGCACAUGCUGCUCGAGUGAGUUACUGCACCAGAAGGGAACUGGCACGACGACGAGGGAGGGAGGGAUCAUCUCUGAGCUCCGACGCGGCGACGCGGUUGCUGCGUGGUCGGUCCCGGUGUAGAAGCGGGAGACGACGACGUGUUCCGGUAUUCCCCGUCCGCGGCGCUGUCUGUGCGAACGCGUGGAGCACAGGUCCCCGCCGUUGAACGGAUCCGUUUCCGCGAGAUCAACCUGACGCGCGCGAGAGAGGCACUGAACCACUGGAGCUUCUGUCAUCCCCGAUCUCUAGCGAUCCGCCCGUUCACUCUCUGUUGACAAGUUCCGGUAAAUCUGGUGCAGCUAGCGCGCGCCCUUUCCGUCAUUCUGGAGUUCCUACCGGCUAAAGGGGCACGACGAAACCUAACCUGUAUCCGACAGUACCAAACACAAACCCGGGGACCGGCUCUGCAGAGUACUCUGUUAGCAAGUGGGGCUGCGCCGGCAACGCAUUGACGCCCUUGCAGACGGUCGCCCGCCCCCCUCUGCUCCGGGCAAGCUGCGGUCCGCGCGCGGGGGGUCAAGGGAAGAGGGAUGACGACGCUCGCGAUCGGUGAGCCGCGGAUCGUGGGGCGUGUUCUAGAAUCGAUCGAGCGUGGCCGGAUCGCUCUCUCCGGUCUCGCUGGCGCUGCUGCGCUCGGCUCGUCGUUGCGAGAUUGCAGUCGCGUCUGGGGUGUCUGUCGGGAGCACGGAACGAUGCCGGAUCCAGAGUUCCACAGCUCCUGCUACUGAGCUGAAUGCCUGUGCUGCUCUGCUGCGGAUUCGUUGUGACAGCUACCCAGCGUGUGAGUGAUUGGUUCCAUCGACAUGGAGAUGGCUCUGUUUCUCCGUAUUCAUGAUUGGAGGUAUAGUUUCUUUUUUUUUUAUUUUCACGUUGCAUAUAUGUCCCUUUUGAGGUAAUAAAUUUUUGGAAAACGUACUAGUGGUACUGGUACCUAUCGGGCUGGUUAAUGCGAGACGAAAGGUUGUUUUUGCGUCGAGACUCCAGAUUCGGGGAGGAGUGCAAAGAUCUCUCGGAACAUCGGCACCCUCCCUCCCUCCCUCUCUCUCUUGAGGUGCCUGUGGAGAGGCUGUAACAUCUGGGGCUGCCGUGGCAGCAGCGGCGGAAUACGGUUGACCAAGCCUGCAGAAGCCGGCACCCGCAGCCUCUCCGUGCUCCCGUGCGUACGGCAGAACAAAAUUGUACAACGAAAAGGCUGCAAUUUCGCCGCCACCGGUCGACACAUGUAUGGAGUGCGGUGCGUGACUGCGUGCUGCGUAACAAGCUGAGCUUACCUGGAAACCAGCAGCACAAGCACAUCCGCGGUUUGAUUGUUUCAAGGAUGCUGUACGCCGCUCCGCUGCAUGCCUGCAUCUUCUGAUAUUCACGCACGCAGCAUGGCUCGAGGUGACGGAAAUGAUCUCCAAGACAAUUCUCUGUUCAAGCGUGUGAAAGUUUCAGUACAAGGAAUCAGCGCCUCAAGUUCAUACUGCUGCCUGAAAAUUGGUGAAGCUUCAGACAUUUUCGCUUACAGUUGGAUCACUCCUUUUCUUUUGUUUUUUUUUCUUUUUUGAAAAGGGCAUCUGGAUCACGCAUUGGGAUUUGUAGCUCAAUGAUGCGUCUCACCAGUGGGCAGUGGCUAGAAAAUUAGAUGCCACCGAAAGACACAGAAAAUAUAAAAAAUAAUGGUAGAUUGCAAACAAGGAAAGGUGAUUUCCCCGUGAAAUAUACCCACCUACUUCUCUACUACUAUACAUCAUACAUCGUAUGUACAAAGUCACCUAUACAAACAACCGCAUGUAUCCUUUUUUUCUUUCAAUUUCUCCGUAGCAGUAGUACUGGCCUACCACCUUCACAAACCUCAAUCCGAAAGGGAAGGCCCGCAUUUCCCCUGCUUUGUCUGACUUCACGCCCCGUUCUUUUGACUUCGCUUUAAACCCCACACCGCCGCACGUAGCACUAUGCCGGUUUGCAGGGGAUCCUCCAGGUCAAAUGGUCUUAAAUUUCAAUUCCCGAAUUCAGACUUGAAAAUCUCCCUGUUUGGAACGGGUCGCCCACGGCGGUGACGGGUCGGCGCGUCGGUGGGGGCUCAGAACGGGUGCGGGCUCCGGCUGAGCCCGUGCGCGUUGGCGAACAGCCCCAUGAGGUCCUGCCGGUACGGCAGGAACGUGCGCCGCCCGCCGGGGGUCGCCUUGGCGCCGCCGUACGACAUCCGGCGCCCCGCGGCGACCGUGUCGAGCUCGGUGGCGCCGGCGGCCUUGCUUCCUUUGGGCGGCGGUGGCUUCGGCUUGGAGCCGGCGGGGGAGUGCUCCCUGUCCCUGGCCGGGGACGACGGCGCGGAGAGGAAGAGGAACUUGUGCUUGCCGUCGCUGUGGCUGCGGCCGACGACGAGGUCCCCGAUGCGGCGCCACCGCGCGACGGAGCCCGUGGACCCGCUCUUCCGCGGCGGACGCGAGGGCGAGGACGCCGGCGACGACCCGGGCGUCCAGAGGCAGUAGCUGUCGGGCGGCGCGCCGUCGAGAUCCGCGCUACCGUCCGCCGUCGACGCCGAGGACGACGACGAGGUGGAGGAUGUGGACGCGACGGAGGAGGUCCGCGCCUGCUCCAGCUGGAACAGGCGGCCCAGCGGCGCCCUCGGCGCGGCCGGUGCGGCGGCGGCCUCGUCGUCCAGGACCCGGCCGAACACCGGGUAGAACGCGCGGAUGCGGCCGCCCGCGAAGAGCUCGUCCGCCGCCGCCGCGGCGCCCCCGCCCGCCGCCGGCUCCCGGCUCACGGAGGGGAACUCGAACUCGCCGUCGGAGUCCUCGUCGUCGGACGCCAAUGACCCGCCGUGCUCCCUGGGAACUGGAAGCUCCGCGGCCGCGGGCUCGUGGCGGCGGCCACCCGGCGGUCUGCGGUCCUCCAUGCCUCUCAUGUUCCUAUUUCCGCUGCUCGAUCUCUUCGCGACUGAUGGCGGGGUGCGCGCAAAGGGUGGGAAGCAACUGCUAGUUGGUUGGGGAGGUGGCACCGGCGUAUAUAUAGGGGGGAAGCCGGCAGCGGGAGGCGACCUUCUGGAAGGGAAGGCGAUUCGGCUCGGCCCCACGCUACACGUCACUCGUGAUGCACGCGGGGUUCGUUUCUUGCUUGGGGGUGGGGGGGGGGGGGGGGGUUGCCGUUGGUUGCGUUCCGUGUGCGUGUGCUAUGGGUUUACACAUGAUUUUGGGAAAUUCUCGAAGGGGCCCUGGGUCCGGGGGAUUUGCUUGCCGAGGGAGAUCGCGCUUGCUUGCGGGACAAGCAGCUGCUGAUCCGGCCGGCUGAAGAUACGCUAGCGCCGCGGAGCCGGCUGGGUCGAAGAAAGCCCGUGCACACGUGGGCGCUCUGUAAGCUGACGACGGAGCUGUGAUCCAGCUGCGAUGUCAGUAGCGUCCAGUGUGAACAGAAGCAGCGGGGAAAUCUCAUCCACGCACAAAUUCUUCUCGGAUUGAACUGCCUACUAGCCCGCAUGGCCGGUUGUACUUGCGCAUGGCGACACGCGCGGUCCCUUCUGCAAUCACGAACGACGGGGGAGCAAGCACAUGGAAAUUGUGAGACCGCGCCUCUGGUGUAUUCGACACGGGAGACGCCAUGUACUUGAAAUUUUUUGCCACGAGACAGCGUUUUGAGUUCGGCCAUGUGCCACCUGUGAGUGAUGCAGCACGAGCCAGACCAAUCGCCGAGACUACCGCUCGCCAUUGGCAGGGACGGCCCGGGAGGAACCGGCAACUAACCCUGCGCAGGUGUCGUCGCCUCGCGCCGCCGCGGCCAACGGUUCCUUACUUUAUUCACGCGUGUAGCGGCGCGGCGGCGGGUGCCAGGCCACGCCCCCGACGAGGUUCCGUGCGCGCAUCGCAUUGCAGGAGGCAUGAGGCGCGAGCGCGCGCGCCGCGGCCGGUGUGCCCGCCGUUCCGGCAGUCCUGGGUGGGUUCCCGCCUUCUUGGAAUCGAGGGUGGUACCCGUGCCGUGCGCCAAGUGCCCCCAACGCCGAACGUUCCCGUGCCGUGCAUGCGCGACGCGUCGGGGGGUCAUCUGAAGCUGGCCCUAGCUCCUUUCCCAGACGCCGUGAAACGUUUGGGCUCUCUCGGGCGGUCCGCCGCUGUCGCACGGUGAACUCCGACGACAAAGACGAGGAUCCCCUUGCCACGUGCUACUGGAUCACCAUCUCAUUAUCUCUGCUCCGUAGUCCGUACUGGCGGCAUGUAUCGUGCACGUGCAGCUCCUGCAACUAGCCAGUAACUCUGAGACUACGAGCGGCGAGUUUAAUUCCCUUUUCCUCUCGUUCUUUGUUUGGGAGGAUAAUCAAGGGCGAGAACCUGAUGAGUUCGCUUGUCCGGACUGUCAGUUCGCGUAAGCAUAACGAUUCCCGGUGACAGGCUUCGUUUUCCUAGUAGCGUUAGCUCCGAGCUCAACGAGUUGCAUUAAUCCGUCCCCGCGUUAGGGGAGGAGCUGUCCUCCUGCGCGUGCUUAAUAAUUGGCCUCUGUCGCCGUUACGAAGCAACCUGAUUUGUUCUCUCUCAUGAGGCUAUUAUUUCACCGACGAACUCUACUACUAAACGAGCGAAUCAUGAUAGUCGCUCAGUCGAUCUCCUGAGAGCUCAGUUCAGAAUUGACGGCGUUAAAUAAGCUUCUGAACGAAGCGAGCGCGUUCGGCGUGCUGGCAUGCUUCGGGCAUUUUGUUUCUGUUUUUUUUUUCUUAGAGCAAAUCGCCCCGUACUGUCCGGCUGCAUCGGUCGAAGUCAGAGAGGCUAGUAUAGCUGCCUUUGAGCACAAAACAAAUUCACAAUUUAAAAAGGUACUUGACAAAUCUGAGAGGAACUAGACGAAAAUGAUCAGAUGCCAAAUUUCAUGUCGUAGCAUUAUUCACCCGCUGUCUAUCUGGUUAUUAAUAGAGAGAGUAUUCGGCGUGAAGCCAUUUCGUGGCAGCAGACACGCCGCGCGCACGACACAUGUGCCAACAAAGCACUGUACGUAUCUCAUAUCAGUCGAUCCGUCAUUGACCACGCACAUACGUGCGUUACUUGGUCAGUGGUCACUUUGAUCGUGCGUCUACCGGAGGAGGAACUUGGCGGGUAAUUUCGAACCUCAUCUGCGGAUGCGAUCUGUGAUUAAUGGCGCCCGACUCUGUGGCGGAGGAGCAAGCUGGCACGGGUGGACCUUCGGGUGCCCAACUCGCAACGGAACCAGCCGCAGCCCAACAGAAACAAUUGUCCGGGCUAUCUGCGAGGAUAAACGGGGGUCACCUUUGGAUGACGAGUGAUUGACAACCGUGGCGUAUAAUGCAUGUCUUGGCUUCUGAAGUGGACGGAUCUGAGUUCCGGUUUCGAAGCCGGAAGUUACAGAUUUAGUUCCGGUUUUACUCUGACAAGUGUUGAUUUUUCAUUCCGACCUGUCGCGCUUACCUCUAUUUUGUCUCUAAAAUUUUCUAGUAUUGUUUCUAGAUCCAAUAGCAUCCCAAAUAGCUUAAAUAGCUAUGUGGGCUGGACAAUUUUAGAAAAGAGAUUUGUUAGAUGAAUUUAGGAUACAGAUCUUGUUCUAAUCGGAGAUUUUUUAUAGGCUCUCAUUCACCUCCUCUAGUCGUCCGUUGCGGUACGCGGUACUACAAUUUGCCUUGCUCUUGGAGUUCUCGAUCUUGUUAUCACGUCAGGUUCGCUGCUACUAUUCCGUACUAUUCCUGACCCUCGUCUUGCGCGCCCGUAGCGUAGGGGUACGUCACGCCGGACAAGAGGAAGCUGCGGCAACCAGCAUGCGCGCUCCAGCCACCACCGAGUAGGCACGCCUUCGCCGAUCCGUCGACGUGGUGGGUCGAAUGCUGAUGCUUCAUCUCCGGCGGCCCCGUCUGAUCUCGUCGUCGUCGGUUCCCUAGCUCGUUCCAACAUUUCCACUUUUUUCCAGCAGUCACCUAUCAAAGCUCGACGGCUUUUUUAGGCCCUUCCUCCGCUCCGCCCGUCAUGAACGCCGAGAAUAUUUGACCCUGGUUCUGGUUAGCAGACAUGGAAUGUUCUGUUCCAGGUCCAGUCCCACUACAAUUCAGUGCAUCUGCUGCUGCAGGCUGACCACUCUCUCAGAGGAAACAAUCCAAUGGUAGAAGCGGUGCUCAUUCCUCUGGUGGAAAAGAACACAUCCGUGAUAACGACAGGCACGGAUGAAAGCAGCGGGGGGAAAGGGAAGGCAUUGGCCGUAGUGCCGUGGUCGCGGUUUCUAGAACACGACUUUGUUAUCGCCUGGACUCUGCCUGCAUUCCGUGAAAGUGCUACUAGCCAUGCCCGUAUGAGUACAUGACCGAUUGGACAGUACGUUUGUUGCACAUGGACAGGCAUGGUCGUAACUCGUAGCCAUCGCGCAGUCGGAAAGGAAAAAAAAAUGGGACCGGAAUGGCUGAACACCUGAAGCCGAAUCGUCUGAAGCUGGCGGAUGAAACCUGCCAAUCUGAAGCUGGCGGACGAGACCUGAAGCUUUUUUCUGUUCUGCUGUGUUUCAGUUUUAAAACUCGCAGACUCGUUUGUUGGUUUCGAUUCCUUUGUACUGUCACUGCUUUCAGGGGGAUCAAGAGGGGGGCAGCUGUAGGCUUUUUCCCUGCUCGCAUCCUGUCUGUAAUGGGCUACACUGUGCUAAAACGUUCUUGCCUUGUUAAUGCAAUGGCGCGGGAGGGCGGGACGAGCUUCGCCUAUCUGUUCUAAAAAAGAAAAGAAAAAAAAGAACUUCCGGAUUGCCGCCAGUCUUGCACCGGAUGGCUGUGCGUGCAAGUGGCAUAUACC
This 23917-nucleotide long non-coding RNA is filed under the name Panicum hallii. RNAcentral describes it as "long non-coding RNA (PHAL_LNC000515)". Lineage: Eukaryota; Viridiplantae; Streptophyta; Magnoliopsida; Poales; Poaceae. The record is from RNAcentral.